AUUGAACGCUGGCGGCAUGCCUAACACAUGCAAGUCGAGCGGAUGAAGGGAGCUUUCUCCUGGAUUCCGCUGCCGACGGACGAGUAAUUCCUAGGUGUCUACCCUGUAUUUGAGAAUAACGUCCCGUAGCGAACGCUAAGACCGCAUACGUCCUUAUGUUGAACGUGGUGGAUCUUCGGACCUCGCGCUAUUUGAUGACCCUAGGUCAGAUUAGCUAGUUGGUUUGGUAAAGGCCUACCAAGGCGACGAUCCGUAACUGGUCUGAGAGGAUGAUCAGCCACACUGGAACUGAGACACGGUCCAGACUCCUACGGGAGGCAGCAGUGGGGAAUAUUGGACAAUGGGCGAAAGCCUGAUGCAGCAACGCCGCGUGUGUGAAGAAGGUCUUCGGAUUGUAAAGCACUUUAAGUAGGGAGGAAGAGCAGUAAAUUAAUCCAUUGAUGUCUUGACGUUACCAAAAGAAAAAGCAACGGCUAACUUCGUG
This 484-nucleotide ribosomal RNA is filed under the name uncultured bacterium. Its description in RNAcentral is "partial 16S ribosomal RNA". It matches the Rfam family "Bacterial small subunit ribosomal RNA", at positions 30 to 507 of the family's 1533-position model. The record is from RNAcentral.